RNAcentral lists this ribosomal RNA (1456 nucleotides) under metagenome. RNAcentral's name for it is "bacterial SSU rRNA". It matches the Rfam family "Bacterial small subunit ribosomal RNA". The record is from RNAcentral.
AGAGUUUGAUCCUGGCUCAGGAUGAACGCUGGCGGCGUGCUUAAUACAUGCAAGUCGAACGGAGAUUGUAGCAAUACAAUCUUAGUGGCGAACGGGUGAGUAACGCGUUGGUGACCCCCCCAAAGAGAGGGAUAACAGUCCGAAAGGAUUGCUAAUACCUCAUACGGUUACCGGGUUUAGAAGCCGGCAACUAAAGGCGUAAGCCACUUUGGGAGGGACCUGCGUCCCAUCAGCUAGUUGGUGAGGUAACGGCCCACCAAGGCGAUGACGGGUAGGGGACCUGAGAGGGUGGCCCCCCACAAUGGUACUGAAACACGGACCAUACACCUACGGGUGGCAGCAGUAGGGAAUAUUAGUUAAUGUGCGAAAGCGCGAACUAGCAACGCCGCGCGUGCGAUGAAGGCCUUCGGGUCGUAAAGCACUUUUCUAAGGGAUGAGGAAGGACAGUACCUUAGGAAUAAGCCUCGGCUAACUACGUGCCAGCAGCCGCGGUAAAACGUAGGAGGCAAGCGUUAUCCGGAUUUACUGGGCGUAAAGCGCGUGCAGGCGGUUUGGAAAGUUGGAUGUGAAAGCUCCUGGCUUAACUGGGAGAGGUCGUUCAAUACUACCAGACUUGAGGAUAGUAGAGGGAGAUGGUAUUCCGGGUGUAGUGGUGAAAUGCGUAGAUAUCCGGAGGAACACCAGUGGCGAAAGCGGUCUCCUGGACUAUUUCUGACGCUCAGACGCGAAAGCUAGGGUAGCAAACGGGAUUAGAGACCCCGGUAGUCCUAGCUGUAAACGAUGUAGACUUGGCGUCGGUGGGUUUAAAUCCAUCGGUGUCGAAGCUAACGCGAUAAGUCUACCGCCUGGGGACUACGGCCGCAAGGUUAAAACUCAAAGGAAUUGACGGGGGCCCGCACAAGCAGCGGAGCGUGUGGUUUAAUUCGAUUUACACGAAGAACCUUACCAGGGUUUGACAUGCUGGUGGUAGUGAUUCGAAAGAUGAACGACCCUUCGGGGAGCCAGCACAGGUGCUGCAUGGCUGUCGUCAGCUCGUGUCGUGAGAUGUUCGGUUAAGUCCGCUAACGAGCGCAACCCUCCCUGUGUGUUAUAUGUGUCACACGGUACUGCCGGUCUUAAGCCGGAGGAAGGUGGGGAUGACGUCAAGUCAGCAUGGCCUUUAUAUCCUGGGCUACACACACGCUACAAUGGCCAGAACAAUAGGUUGCUAAGCCGCGAGGUGGAGCCAAUCCCCAAAUCUGGUCUCAGUUCAGAUUGUAGGCUGCAACUCGCCUGCAUGAAGAUGGAGUUGCUAGUAACCGCAGGUCAGCUAUACUGCGGUGAAUACGUUCCCGGGCCUUGUACACACCGCCCGUCACGUCAUGGGAGCUGGCAACACCUGAAGCCGGUAUCCUAACCGAAAGGAAGGAGCCGUCGAAGGUGGGGUUGGUGACUGGGACGAAGUCGUAACAAGGUA